GAUGAACGCUGGCGGCGUGCCUAAUACAUGCAAGUCGAGCGAACAGACGAGGAGCUUGCUCCUCUGACGUUAGCGGCGGACGGGUGAGUAACACGUGGAUAACCUACCUAUAAGACUGGGAUAACUUCGGGAAACCGGAGCUAAUACCGGAUAAUAUAUUGAACCGCAUGGUUCAAUAGUGAAAGACGGUUUUGCUGUCACUUAUAGAUGGAUCCGCGCCGCAUUAGCUAGUUGGUAAGGUAACGGCUUACCAAGGCAACGAUGCGUAGCCGACCUGAGAGGGUGAUCGGCCACACUGGAACUGAGUCACGGUCCAGACUCCUACGGGAGGCAGCAGUAGGGAAUCUUCCGCAAUGGGCGAAAGCCUGACGGAGCAACGCCGCGUGAAUGAUGAAGGUCUUCGGAUCGUAAAACUCUGUUAUUAGGGAAGAACAAAUGUGUAAGUAACUAUGCACGUCUUGACGGUACCUAAUCAGAAAGCCACGGCUAACUACGUG
Molecule: ribosomal RNA, 497 nt
Filed under: uncultured bacterium
Lineage: Bacteria
Description: partial 16S ribosomal RNA
Rfam family: Bacterial small subunit ribosomal RNA
Source: RNAcentral